AACGAACGCUGGCGGCAUGCCUAACACAUGCAAGUCGAACGAGACCUUCGGGUCUAGUGGCGCACGGGUGCGUAACGCGUGGGAACCUGCCCUUAGGUUCGGAAUAACUCCCCGAAAGGGGUGCUAAUACCGGAUAAUGUCUUCGGUCCAAAGAUUUAUCGCCUUUGGAUGGGCCCGCGUUGGAUUAGCUAGUUGGUAGGGUAAAAGCCUACCAAGGCGACGAUCCAUAGCUGGUCUGAGAGGAUGAUCAGCCACACUGGGACUGAGACACGGCCCAGACUCCUACGGGAGGCAGCAGUGGGGAAUAUUGGACAAUGGGCGAAAGCCUGAUCCAGCAAUGCCGCGUGAGUGAUGAAGGCCUUAGGGUUGUAAAGCUCUUUUACCCGGGAUGAUAAUGACAGUACCGGGAGAAUAAGCUCCGGCUAACUCCGUG
RNAcentral lists this ribosomal RNA (433 nucleotides) under uncultured bacterium. Its description in RNAcentral is "partial 16S ribosomal RNA". It matches the Rfam family "Bacterial small subunit ribosomal RNA", at positions 29 to 507 of the family's 1533-position model. The record is from RNAcentral.